This 253-nucleotide ribosomal RNA is filed under the name uncultured bacterium. Its description in RNAcentral is "partial 16S ribosomal RNA". It matches the Rfam family "Bacterial small subunit ribosomal RNA", at positions 524 to 776 of the family's 1533-position model. The record is from RNAcentral.
GACAGAGGGGGCAAGCGUUGCUCGGAAUCACUGGGCGUAAAGGGCGCGUAGGCGGGGCCGGAAGUCGAUCGUGAAAUCCUUCGGCUCAACUGAAGGGGGUCGGUCGAUACUGCGGGUCUUGAGGGAUGCAGAGGAGACUGGAAUUCCCGGUGUAGCGGUGAAAUGCUUAGAUAUCGUCAAGAACACCUAUAGCGAAGGCAGCUUACUAGGCUGUAACUGACGCUGAGGCACGAAAGUGUGGGGAUCAAACAGG